GGUGGCUCAGUGGUAGAGUGCUUGCCUUGCAUGCAUGAGGCCCUGGGUUCGAUUCCUCGCACCA
Non-coding RNA from Dipodomys ordii (Ord's kangaroo rat), 64 nucleotides. NCBI's taxonomy places the organism in Eukaryota, Metazoa, Chordata, Mammalia, Rodentia, Heteromyidae. The record is from Rfam.